GUGUCAGCAGCCGCGGUAAUACGUAGGCAGCGAGCGUUGUUCGGAGUUACUGGGCGUAAAGAGUAUGUAGGCGGUUGCGUAAGUUUGGUGUGAAAUCUCCCGGCUUAACUGGGAGGGUGCGCCGAAAACUGCGUGGCUAGAGUGUGGGAGAGGAAAGCGGAAUUCCUGGUGUAGCGGUGAAAUGCGUAGAUAUCAGGAGGAACACCGGCGGUGUAGACGGCUUUCUGGACCAUUACUGACGCUGAGAUACGAAAGCGUGGGUAGCAAACAGGAUUAGAUACCCUGGUAGUCC
This 292-nucleotide ribosomal RNA is filed under the name uncultured bacterium. RNAcentral describes it as "partial 16S ribosomal RNA". It matches the Rfam family "Bacterial small subunit ribosomal RNA", at positions 505 to 796 of the family's 1533-position model. The record is from RNAcentral.